Molecule: ribosomal RNA, 253 nt
Filed under: uncultured bacterium
Lineage: Bacteria
Description: partial 16S ribosomal RNA
Rfam family: Bacterial small subunit ribosomal RNA
Source: RNAcentral
UACGGAGGGUGCAAGCGUUAUCCGGAUUCACUGGGUUUAAAGGGUGCGUAGGUGGGCAGGUAAGUCAGCGGUGAAAUCUCCGGGCUUAACUCGGAAACUGCCAUUGAUACUAUCUGUCUUGAAUACCGUGGAGGUCAGCGGAAUAUGUCAUGUAGCGGUGAAAUGCUUAGAUAUGACAUAGAACACCAAUUGCGAAGGCAGCUGGCUACACAAAUAUUGACACUGAGGCACGAAAGCGUGGGGAUCAAACAGG